This 426-nucleotide ribosomal RNA is filed under the name uncultured bacterium. RNAcentral's name for it is "partial 16S ribosomal RNA". It matches the Rfam family "Bacterial small subunit ribosomal RNA", at positions 355 to 774 of the family's 1533-position model. The record is from RNAcentral.
UGGGGAAUAUUGCACAAUGGGCGCAAGCCUGAUGCAGCCAUGCCGCGUGUAUGAAGAAGGCCUUCGGGUUGUAAAGUACUUUCAGCGGGGAGGAAGGUGUUGAGGUUAAUAACCUCAGCAAUUGACGUUACCCGCAGAAGAAGCACCGGCUAACUCCGUGCCAGCAGCCGCGGUAAUACGGAGGGUGCAAGCGUUAAUCGGAAUUACUGGGCGUAAAGCGCACGCAGGCGGUCUGUCAAGUCGGAUGUGAAAUCCCCGGGCUCAACCUGGGAACUGCAUCCGAAACUGGCAGGCUAGAGUCUUGUAGAGGGGGGUAGAAUUCCAGGUGUAGCGGUGAAAUGCGUAGAGAUCUGGAGGAAUACCGGUGGCGAAGGCGGCCCCUGGACAAAGACUGACGCUCAGGUGCGAAAGCGUGGGGAGCAAACA